Molecule: ribosomal RNA, 830 nt
Filed under: Striatibotrys eucylindrosporus
Lineage: Eukaryota; Fungi; Ascomycota; Sordariomycetes; Hypocreales; Stachybotryaceae
Description: eukaryotic LSU rRNA
Rfam family: Eukaryotic large subunit ribosomal RNA
Source: RNAcentral
AGGGAUUGCCUCAGUAACGGCGAGUGAAGCGGCAACAGCUCAAAUUUGAAAUCUGGCCCCAGGCCCGAGUUGUAAUUUGCAGAGGAUGCUUUUGGCGCGGUGCCUUCCGAGUUCCCUGGAACGGGACGCCAUAGAGGGUGAGAGCCCCGUCUGGUUGGACACCAAGCCUUUGUAAAGCUCCUUCGACGAGUCGAGUAGUUUGGGAAUGCUGCUCUAAAUGGGAGGUACAUGUCUUCUAAAGCUAAAUACCGGCCAGAGACCGAUAGCGCACAAGUAGAGUGAUCGAAAGAUGAAAAGCACUUUGGAAAGAGAGUUAAACAGCACGUGAAAUUGUUAAAAGGGAAGCGUUUAUGACCAGACGUGGGCCGGUUAAUCAUCCAGCGUUCUCGCUGGUGCACUUUGCCGGUCCAGGCCAGCAUCAGUUCGCUGCGGGGGAUAAAGGCUUUGGGAAUGUAGCUCCUCGGAGUGUUAUAGCCCUCUGCGUAAUACCCUGCGGCGGACUGAGGUUCGCGCUCUGCAAGGAUGCUGGCGUAAUGGUCAUCAACGACCCGUCUUGAAACACGGACCAAGGAGUCGUCUUCGUAUGCGAGUGUUCGGGUGUAAAACCCCUACGCGAAAUGAAAGUGAACGCAGGUGAGAGCUUCGGCGCAUCAUCGACCGAUCCUGAUGUUCUCGGAUGGAUUUGAGUAAGAGCAUACGGGGCCGGACCCGAAAGAAGGUGAACUAUGCCUGUAUAGGGUGAAGCCAGAGGAAACUCUGGUGGAGGCUCGCAGCGGUUCUGACGUGCAAAUCGAUCGUCAAAUAUGGGCAUGGGGGCGAAAGACNNAUCG